GAUUUGGAAGAGGAGAGCUGUCAGAGGACACUGAGAAGUGGCAGUGACGUUGGAAGAAAAUAAGAAUGCUGUGUUUCUGGAGUCAAGUUAAAACUCCAUUUUAAAGAUGGAGUGGUCACCUGUAUCAGAUGUCCCCAGGAGGCCAAGGAAGAAUGCUCCAAAUCAUAAUAAAAUCCAUCCAUUACUUCAGACAGAUGAAAACAGUUCCUUCUAAAAAGAGGCUAAUGUUUUUAAAAGACAGUAAGAGAAGAAUGUCAGCUCCCCAUGGCUGCAGUAGAAAGUGCUGGAUGAGAGGAGCAUCUCCAGAGCAUGGAAGACAAAGCAGCUUUAUCCUCAACUUUUCCACCUCAAUUUCCAUUUUCCUCCAAGGCAAAACUCCCACUCCUGGCAGAUUAAAUGAAAUGAAGACACUGAGCUCUGCAAGUACACUGCUUUUUGAAUCCCAGAGCUGGAAUCCAGAGAGACUCUGAAUUUCUUCAGGCUAGUCCACCCCUGCAAGUGAACUUGCUUGUCAAAUGCCUCUUUAAAAAGAAAGUGAAGAUAACUGCAAGUCAGCUGGAAGUGCUGCCAAGAUAUGACCUCCAGGAAGGCCCAGAAGACAAGUGAUAUUGUGUGGACUGCUACAGCGCAAUGUCUAACUGAUGCAAAAUGAAGAAUCAAUUUGAAAUUAAGAUGAGUAAAGGCAUCCAGCACUUACAGCAAAAAACAUUGUCAUCAGGCCCUGGGGAGAUGAGGACACCUCCCUUCCCUUCUCAGGCUCCCUUUCCCUGUCAGACUCUAGCUCUCAAAGGCUGUCAUCCUCCAAGGGUAUUCCCUACGUACUGCAUAGCAUCUCUGUUACCCUUUGAAUUCAACAGUAUUCAUCUCCUCCAACAUUCAUUCAUUCCUUUAGUCAAAAGUCAGUUGUCAAACACAAGGCACAAGUGCACAUUUAAGGAAUUCAUGGCCAAUAUUUGUCAUGUCAUUUCAUGAAUUGUCUGAGAAACAUAAAACAUACAAUGAGGAUACUGAUCCAAGAUACAUGGCACACAAUUAAAUUGCGAAAAACAUGACUCUGAGUCCAAAAGUUCUUAUUUUUUCACAGUCUUCAGAGUAUUGUAUAGACCCCUUGAAAAAUAAAUUUGCAGAGUGUGAAUGUUAAUUACUGUCACCUUCAGAAAAGAGAUUUUACACAUGUAUAAAAGAGAAAUAGUGACUAUUCUAGAUUAUAGAGCACAGAAAGAAUUCUCAAACUAGUAUAACCCUAUUUCUCUAUAUCACAAAGACAUCUUGUAGGCAUGUUCCUCUGAAGGACUUGAGAAUUAUGCUUUUUUUCCUCCUUGUCUCUCUAAAAGCAAAAAGCACAGUAAUCUCGCUGAAGUAUAAUCAAAACAGAGCCUGAUGUGAAACCAGAGCCUUGAGUUUUCAUCCUGCAUUUGUUACUUAAAAGCUGACAUAAGAAAAAUUAUUUAACUUCUCUUAACCUCAGUUUCUUAUCUAUAAAAUGGGAUUAUAAAAUGUAUCUCACAAGGUAGUUAUGAGGAUUAAAGGAAAUGAAAAAA
This is a long non-coding RNA of Homo sapiens (human), 1541 nucleotides long. Lineage: Eukaryota; Metazoa; Chordata; Mammalia; Primates; Hominidae. The record is from Ensembl.